AACGAACGCUGGCGGCAUGCCUAACACAUGCAAGUCGAACGAGACCUUCGGGUCCAGUGGCGCACGGGUGCGUAACGCGUGGGAAUCUGCCCUUGGGUUCGGAAUAACAGUUAGAAAUGACUGCUAACACCGGAUAAUGUCUUCGGACCAAAGAUUUAUCGCCCAGGGAUGAGCCCGCGUAGGAUUAGCUAGUUGGUGAGGUAACGGCUCACCAAGCCUACGAUCUGUAGCUGGUCUGAGAGGAUGAUCAGCCACACUGGGACUGAGAUACGGCCCAGACUCCUACGGGAGGCAGCAGUGGGGAAUAUUGGACAAUGGGGGGCAACCCGUGAUCCAGCAAUGCCGCGUGAGUGAUGAAGGCCUUAGGGUUGUAAAGCUCUUUUACCAGGGACGAUGAUGACGGUACCUGGAGAAUAAGCCCCGGCUAACUUCGUGCCAGCAGCCGCGGUAAU
RNAcentral lists this ribosomal RNA (452 nucleotides) under uncultured bacterium. RNAcentral's name for it is "bacterial SSU rRNA". It matches the Rfam family "Bacterial small subunit ribosomal RNA", at positions 29 to 524 of the family's 1533-position model. The record is from RNAcentral.